GACGAACGCGGCGGCGUGCCUAAUACAUGCAAGUAGAACGCACAGGAUGCACCGUAGUUUACUACACCGUAUUCUGUGAGUUGCGAACGGGUGAGUAACGCGUAGGUAACCUGCCUGGUAGCGGGGGAUAACUAUUGGAAACGAUAGCUAAUACCGCAUAAGAACAUUUACUGCAUGGUAGAUGUUUAAAAGGUGCAAAUGCAUCACUACCAGAUGGACCUGCGUUGUAUUAGCUAGUAGGUGAGGUAACGGCUCACCUAGGCGACGAUACAUAGCCGACCUGAGAGGAUGAUCGGCCACACUGGGACUGAGACACGGCCCAGACUCCUACGGGAGGCAGCAGUAGGGAAUCUUCGGCAAUGGGGGGAACCCUGACCGAGCAACGCCGCGUGAGUGAAGAAGGUUUUCGGAUCGUAAAGCUCUGUUGUUAAGGAAGAACGAGUGUGAGAAUGGAAAGCUCAUACUGUGACG
Molecule: ribosomal RNA, 471 nt
Filed under: Streptococcus intermedius
Lineage: Bacteria; Bacillati; Bacillota; Bacilli; Lactobacillales; Streptococcaceae
Description: bacterial SSU rRNA
Rfam family: Bacterial small subunit ribosomal RNA
Source: RNAcentral